UUUUGUCUUUCCAUCUCCCUUCUUCUGUCCUGCUUUCUUCAAAGAUCAGUGUCCAUCCUACUCCCUCCUCCAGAAGCUUUUGCUCCAAAUGAAUUCCCUCUGAUUUCACUCACAGUGGAAUUUCCCAGCUCCCCAGACCCAGUCCUGGCCACAAAAGCCUCUCUCCACCCUUCUCUCCUGCUCCUAGUGUCCUUGAUCAAGCUCCAAACUCCUCCCCAUACAAGUCAAAGGUCCACCCCUCCCCUGUCUUCCAGGAAGGGGUAUUCUCACCAGUUCUUUCCCUCCAAGCAAAACUCUGCUUCUGCCUUCUGCUGCUGUGGAAGAGACUGUUUCUUAGGACACACACAGCUUUGCCAAAAUCCUUCUAUUUGGUUCCUGCACCAGAUUCCUCAUACUGAUCUGCAAGAUUUCUGGGCACUGGGGUUGGAAACAGUAUCAACAUGUCUGUAUUGGAGCUUUCUUUAUUUGAUACACUAUCCGGAAAUUCAAGCCAAAAUUCAAGAAGAAAUUUGUAAUAUGCUUUCAGAUGAAAAAUACAAUUCUUACAAUUAUCAUUUUUCUUUUAAGUAAAAAAAUAAUAUUUUUAAAGAUGGAAACAUUGAGCUGAAACUACCCAGAUUCGAAGACAGGAAAAUUUUACCAUACACAGAAACUUUCAUAAGUGAAAUAUUCAGACAUGUCUCUUUUCUUCCAUUUACUAUUCCACAUUGGUAAGCAUAUAAUUCUCCUUUGAAACAGCAACCAGUGGUGGGGUGGAGGCAUUGAAGAAUCUUCAGAUAUUGGAAUAUUUUAAGUACUUUCAAAUGUAUAUUGUGUUAUUAUUCUAAUAUUACUUUAAAUAUUAUUUUUAAAUACCAUCAUACAACUUUUGUGUUCAGCAAAAGCAUAUUUUAUGAACAUUUUUCAUUACUAAACUAUGCUGUCAUUAGCUUUUAUUUUAUGUGUACUAAUCAUGGAGACAGAAAAAUAUGGAAAGUCCAAACAACGGAUACUCCAACCAUAAUAUGUAUUUGGCUAUGAAAAGUCAUGUAAACUUGCUUAAUUUCAUCUGAGGAGCAGACAUAGCUUACUUCCGAUAUUGAUUGGUUUUUAGUAGCCUAGAAUUUUGCUGGACAGUAAACUAAAGAAGCUAAUGUCACAAUUAGAUUAACCAGAGUAUUUAUUUGCAGAUACUUGAAACUUCACUGAAUCUUAUUCCAGAUUCUCCAGCACACAAAUGUAUGCCAGCAUAGACUAGGUAGAUAGCUUCAUUAAAUACAUCUGUGGGAAACCAAAUUUCUGGUAGUUUGACCUGUUUUUAUUCCGCCCAAUUAAAAAUUAUUAAAGAAAAACCAGAAUUCUUAGAGUUUGUUCUUCCCUCUCCCUUUAAAUAGUGAAGGAGUGGGAUUAUCUGUCUUCCCAGGAAACCUAUAUAAUCAUUUAGUCAUUGGUGUGACAGCAUGCAGUGUCCUUAGCUAAGUGUCCCGAAGGGCAAGACUGCCAGCUGAGCAAAGUCAAGGCCAGACAGCAAGCAACAUAGUUCCCUGUAUUUUGCUCAUGGUUUGCUGUCUUUGUUCACACACAGUGACUAUCUUCUCACAGUGAUGCUUUUUUUUUCUAGCUGUUCUGUCAGAUCCUUUCUCCGUUAAAGCAAAUUUCAUUUUAACAAACUUAAAAACAUUUUUUUAAGUCCUACUAUUUAAAAGCAACUCUUCUGUCCCGACAAUUUUUAUAAGGUGACUUUGGGUGCUUCAUAAGAGUAUUAUCUACACUUCUGCUAAUCACCCAGGAACAGAGAGGCUCUGCCAAAUUUAUAGGCAUCAUUUGGAAUGAAAGUGAUCAUCUAGUUAGGGCCCGGCAAACUCAUCUGAGGGUCCAAGUAAUAGGGAGAUACAUGUAUUAGGAAGACAUAGGUAUUCAUUGCAUUAUUAAAAUUAAGGAAAUAUAUUAAAAUGUAAAAUUAAAAGGAUUACUGCAUUGGCUAAUGACAGCAGUGAGAUAUGAACCAGGAAUUUUGUGCACACAAAAAAGCUAUCUUACUUAUACUGUUUAGCACUGAUCUAUUCUACUACACUUGGAAGUUUAUUGUUUUUCAAUUAACUUAUUUUCAAUGAAAAUAAAAGGCACAAAAUAUGAGAAAAUAAAUUUAAACAAACUAAAUGAAAUAAACUUAUGUAAACGUGAGGGAACGUGUUCUCUUUCCAGGUCCAUGAGGGGGUGUAGUUUUAAGGACAAAUAUUUCCCCGGUGCCAUUCCCCCUCCCAUAACUCUCCAUCUGUGAGAUUCAAUGGUUUCUGUCUGAAUUUCUUGGGUGCAGGAAGAAACUAAAAGUCAAUCACUCCAGUGGAACUUCUAAGGAACUCCUUUCAUUGGCCAGCAAAAGUUUGCUAUUACAUAUAACACACACACACAGAAAAGAUCCUAAUAAAUAUUUAUUGCACAUGUGUUCCUUAAAAGUUGUGUGGACAGCCACAUAUGUACAUGAAAUUUAAGGAAUAUAAAAGGAGAGAGAGAGAAACUCUACAAUUCACCCUUAUAUUUUAAUACAAGUGAAAUAAAAUUUUAUAUACCAGGUUUCUGUAAAAUAGAAGCAUAUAACUUCUUAUAUGAGUAGAAUCUGAGAAGCUGAAUCCACAGAGGGAAUGUGGAUAGAGAUAGGCAAGUGGCCGUGCAUGAGAAAAGGUAACUCUUCCAAAAAGCGAGUCUAUUGCUUGUUUGGUCUUUCCCCUUGUUCGGUUUUGAGAAACUCAAUAAAUAACAUUCAUAUCAUUUGCCAAAGUUCAGUACAAGCCACAACAUAGACAUGGGUAAAAUAGGAAUUAUGUUAUUAGCUCUUUAAAUAAUCAGAGCUAGUUUUCACAAUGUGGCUUAGAGCUAGAUCAAGUAGAACUCAAAAUUGACAUACUUAUCUUCUCAGUCUUUGCCUAGGUCAAAGACCUUCCGGUCUCUAUUGAAGGACAAUAAAUUCAGCCUAUUUCUGAUUGUAGGUGAGAUGAAUCUUCAUUACAAAUUGGCUAAUCUGAAGAGAGAACCCAGAAGUAGCUAGACAAUGUACUUCUUCUAUAUUGAGAGAAGUAGUAUGUCUUCUCUCAAACUCAUCAAAUUGAAAUGUUUCUGCUUCUCUUGGGGAAGUGGGUAUGAGAAUAGGGUAAUGAGGUAGGGACUGCCACAAGGAAACAUAAAAUGAUUGAAUCCAAUCCAUGAAUAAUUAUAGAGGUAUAAAUAGGAGAGGGAAACAGGUUUCAGGAAGGAGUUUGACUAUCAGACUAGAAAAAUAGAAUAUCUGCUUUAGAGGCAACUUAGAGACCAUCCAACCCAACCAACACCCUUGUUUCAUAGCUAGGAAAUAGACUUGCAUAAUAGAUACAGGAUUUGCCCAACAUCUCACUGAGGGCAACAUCCAAAGUUUAGAUUUCCUUGCUCCAAUUCCAUUGUUCCUUCUACCCAGUACUAAAAAGUCUGACAUUUUGUCUUUCUAAUCUAUUAAUAGACACAAACACAUUGAACACACGGAAGUACUUAAUAAUUCCCUUAAUUGCUUCCUGAUGUAAUUUGAUCUGCCUAUUUAUGGUUAAUGCUGUUAUAGAAAUAUUGAGAUACUUUUCUACAGAAAUGUUUAGCUCAUGGAAGUGCUUUGACUAUAUUAAGUGCACAAUAUGCUUAACUCGUGCAAGAAAAUUAAUUUGACAAGAAGUGGAAAUUGUUUUAAUUAAUGAGAGAAUGAAGAUAUACAAAGAUACAUUAUUAUAGUAAAAAAAAGACAAAAAUAAAAAUAGUCUGUGAGUUGCAGGCAGCAGUUUAAGGAU
Long non-coding RNA from Callithrix jacchus (white-tufted-ear marmoset), 3785 nucleotides. The record is from Ensembl. NCBI's taxonomy places the organism in Eukaryota, Metazoa, Chordata, Mammalia, Primates, Cebidae.